GUUUCCUUAGUGUAGUGGUUAUCACGUCUGCUUUACACGCAGAAGGUCCCCAGUUCAAGCCUCGGCGGAUACA
This 73-nucleotide transfer RNA is filed under the name Nematostella vectensis (starlet sea anemone). It matches the Rfam family "tRNA". Rfam says of the family: Transfer RNA (tRNA) molecules are approximately 80 nucleotides in length. Their secondary structure includes four short double-helical elements and three loops (D, anti-codon, and T loops). The record is from Rfam by way of RNAcentral. Lineage: Eukaryota; Metazoa; Cnidaria; Anthozoa; Actiniaria; Edwardsiidae.